This 1846-nucleotide long non-coding RNA is filed under the name Strigops habroptila (Kakapo). RNAcentral's name for it is "lncRNA (ENSSHBG00005018239.1)". The record is from RNAcentral. Lineage: Eukaryota; Metazoa; Chordata; Aves; Psittaciformes; Psittacidae.
UAUUUCUAAAGAGCUUUUAUUUUCCAUUCAUCUCCCUUUACCCCCUGGAAGAAGCAGGAAUGUUGCUCCAAAACGCUUUCCCAAGGAACCAACCCACAACCCCAAAACCUCCCCGUGCUGGGCACCGCAUCCAGCCACAACAGCCACCCCCUGAACGCUCCCAUUGCCCCCAGCUCCCGACGGGCGCUUCACCCCAGCUCCAGACCCUACAGACGCCUCCAGAGGAGCAAAGACCUGAACAUCCGAUGUCGGAAGAGGAGGAAGGAGGAGGAGGAGGGCUGGUUUAUUUUCCUGUGCUGUCCCGCAGGGAGAGAGCGACCUGUCUCCUUGUUUGUGCUUCAUUCGGGAUGGAUGGCGGCACCGCAGGGUGCUGAGCCCAGCAUUAAUAACCCUGACAGCUCCUCGGCGAGUGUAAUCGCAGCAGUUUUGAUGAUGAAGGUGUUACUCCAGCGAGCUUGGGGCCAAACCGUCUUCUCUGAUGGCUGAGACAUAGUGACGGGGAGUGAGGAUGUGCAGCCGCCUUCCCUGGCCCGAGCACCCCGCGCCGAAAGGCUCCAGCACCCAUGGGAGUCACUGCAGGAACGUGGCUGGAGGUGGGUGGCAUUGCCCCUGUGGGGUCAGCAGCUCCCCCCAACACACCCUCAGUUCAUAACCAGGUGCAUUUAACCCUUUAACCCUCACCCCAAACGUGGGGAGAAGGUACCCCCCAGCAGCGAGUGGGGAUGCGCUGGGGAGAGCCUGCAGCACAUUGGUGACCCCAGAGCAAGCUUCACACUGCCUUUAUCCACCACAAAGCAGCUAAAACCACCCCAAAACUCCUCCAGCAUACCAUCUACCCAGCGUGGGGCUGGCCAGGGCGGGACGUGGUGGGUCAGUGGUGAUGGUCUGGCUGGAGAUCGGUGCUCCCCGAGCCCCUCGGGCCAGCGGGUACCUGUACCUGCAGCUUCUUGGUGAGCAGCUCCUCGCAGGGGGGUGGCAGGGGCCGCUUCAGCCCCUUGGUGGAGGAGCCGGACACGUCUUCUCCUGCCUGGCCGAGCUGCGGCUCCAGCCCGUGCUGGGGCUCCGGGGGCUGGUAGCCAGUCUGGUUGGGAUCCAGGGGGUCUCGGGAGAGCAGGAUGCAGAUGGAGGGCACGUUCUUGUGCACGGUCAGGUUCUGCGCCGCGCCGCCGGGCAGCGGGUCCUGGUUCUCCCAGACUUCCAGCAGGGUUUUGUAGCGCACCUUGGUGACCUGGUGCAGCCCUCCCAGCUUCCGCUUCAUGAUCUCCACGCAGGUGAUGGUCUUGGUGACCGCUCUGCCGCAGCCGCUGAAGACGAUCUGCCGCCUGCCCUUCAGCUCCAUCUGGGCCAUGGCGAAGUUCAUCAGGUUCCUGAUCUUGCUGCCCUCCUUCACUUUCAUCUCCACCACGUCCGGCGGCAGGUCGGGGAAGGGCAAUGGGCUCUCCUCCUCUGAUGUCCUCACCUUUCGGAAGUUCUCCAUCCUGGACUGGGUGACGGGCUUGGCUCUCCCUCCUUCAGCAGCCAUCCUUCACCCCUUCCCGGUGGAUCUGCUCGGGCUCCUAGCCCCCCGGAACCAUAGCAGGGCUCCGCUGCCCUCCAGCCCAGCCUGCAGCAGGGCCGACUUUAACCCUGCGCCCGCGGGACCUCCAGCCCCGUCCCCUCUCCUGGCCCGGUGCUGGCUGCAGAGGAGCCGGUGGCUGUGCCGGAGGCUGUUCCCUGGGGAUACAGGGCUGCAGGAUCCCCUGGGUGCCCCUGGUUGCUCCCAGCCAGCUCCGGCUCUUGGUGAUGCUGCUCCGCUCCCACUGCAGCACUUGCUUCUGCCGCUCUUUGCUUCAUUCUGGACUUCAGC